This 676-nucleotide ribosomal RNA is filed under the name Acanthamoeba sp. Tib122. RNAcentral's name for it is "SSU rRNA". It matches the Rfam family "Eukaryotic small subunit ribosomal RNA", at positions 720 to 1248 of the family's 1831-position model. The record is from RNAcentral. Lineage: Eukaryota; Discosea; Longamoebia; Acanthamoebidae.
UGAGUUAGUGGGGACGUCACAGGGGGCUCAUCGUCGUCGUGCAAACGGCGGCGGUGGGUCCCUGGGGCCCAGAUCGUUUACCGUGAAAAAAUUAGAGUGUUCAAAGCAGGCAGAUCCAAUUUUCUGCCACCGAAUACAUUAGCAUGGGAUAAUGGAAUAGGACCCUGUCCUCCUAUUUUCAGUUGGUUUUGGCAGCGCGAGGACUAGGGUAAUGAUUAAUAGGGAUAGUUGGGGGCAUUAAUAUUUAAUUGUCAGAGGUGAAAUUCUUGGAUUUAUGAAAGAUUAACUUCUGCGAAAGCAUCUGCCAAGGAUGUUUUCAUUAAUCAAGAACGAAAGUUAGGGGAUCGAAGACGAUCAGAUACCGUCGUAGUCUUAACCAUAAACGAUGCCGACCAGCGAUUAGGAGACGUUGAAUACAAAACACCACCAUCGGUGCGGUCGUCCUUGGCGUCGGUUUCGGCCGGCGCGGGGGCGGCUUAGCCCGGUGGCACCGGUGAAUGACUCCCCUAGCAGCUUGUGAGAAAUCAUAAGUCUUUGGGUUCCGGGGGGAGUAUGGUCGCAAGGCUGAAACUUAAAGGAAUUGACGGAAGGGCACCACCAGGAGUGGAGCCUGCGGCUUAAUUUGACUCAACACGGGGAAACUUACCAGGUCCGGACAUAGUAAGGAUUGACAGAU